CGCCAGACUCCUAACGGGAGGCAGCAGUGGGGGAUAUUGCACAAUGGGGGAAACCCUGAUGCAGCAACGCCGCGUGAGUGGAGAAGUAUUUCGGUAUGUAAAGCUCUAUCAGCAGGGAAGAGAAUGACGGUACCUGACUAAGAAGCCCCGGCUAACUACGUGCCAGCAGCCGCGGUAAUACGUAGGGGGCGAGCGUUAUCCGGAUUUACUGGGUGUAAAGGGAGCGUAGACGGCUGGUCAAGUCUGAAGUGAAAGCCCGGGGCUUAACCCCGGAACGGCUUUGGAAACUGAGCAGCUAGAGUGCUGGAGAGGUAAGCGGAAUUCCUAGUGUAGCGGUGAAAUGCGUAGAUAUUAGGAGGAACACCAGUGGCGAAGGCGGCUUACUGGACAGUAACUGACGUUGAGGCUCGAAAGCGUGGGGAGCAAACAGGAUUAGAUACCCGAGUA
RNAcentral lists this ribosomal RNA (447 nucleotides) under uncultured bacterium. Its description in RNAcentral is "bacterial SSU rRNA". It matches the Rfam family "Bacterial small subunit ribosomal RNA", at positions 329 to 792 of the family's 1533-position model. The record is from RNAcentral.